ACUCAAAUGAAUUGACGGGGGCCCGCACAAGCGGUGGAGUAUGUGGUUUAAUUCGAUGCAACGCGCAGAACCUUACCUGGCCUUGACAUGCACGGAACCCCGCAGAGAUGUGGGGGUGCCUUCGGGAACCGUGACACAGGUGCUGCAUGGCUGUCGUCAGCUCGUGUCGUGAGAUGUUGGGUUAAGUCCCGCAACGAGCGCAACCCUUGUCCUUAGUUGCCAGCACGUAAAGGUGGGAACUCUAAGGAGACCGCCGGUGACAAACCGGAGGAAGGUGGGGAUGACGUCAAGUCCUCAUGGCCCUUACGGCCAGGGCUACACACGUACUACAAUGGUCGGUACAGAGGGUUGCCAAGCCGCGAGGUGGAGCCAAUCCCAGAAAACCGAUCUCAGUCCGGAUCGGAGUCUGCAACUCGACUCCGUGAAGUCGGAAUCGCUAGUAAUCGCGGAUCAGCAAUGCCGCGGUGAAUACGUUCCCGGGCCUUGCACACACCGCCCGU
This 500-nucleotide ribosomal RNA is filed under the name uncultured bacterium. Its description in RNAcentral is "partial 16S ribosomal RNA". It matches the Rfam family "Bacterial small subunit ribosomal RNA", at positions 899 to 1397 of the family's 1533-position model. The record is from RNAcentral.